RNAcentral lists this ribosomal RNA (609 nucleotides) under uncultured bacterium. RNAcentral's name for it is "bacterial SSU rRNA". The stretch from base 1 to 517 matches the Rfam family "Bacterial small subunit ribosomal RNA", at positions 338 to 873 of the family's 1533-position model. The record is from RNAcentral.
CCUACGGGAGGCAGCAGUGGGGAAUAUUGGACAAUGGGCGAAAGCCUGAUCCAGCAAUGCCGCGUGAGUGAUGAAGGCCUUAGGGUUGUAAAGCUCUUUUACCAGGGAUGAUAAUGACAGUACCUGGAGAAUAAGCUCCGGCUAACUCCGUGCCAGCAGCCGCGGUAAUACGGAGGGAGCUAGCGUUGUUCGGAAUUACUGGGCGUAAAGCGUGCGUAGGCGGUGACUCAAGUCAGAGGUGAAAGCCUGGAGCUCAACUCCAGAACUGCCUUUGAAACUAGGUCGCUAGAAUCAUGGAGAGGUGAGUGGAAUUCCGAGUGUAGAGGUGAAAUUCGUAGAUAUUCGGAAGAACACCAGUGGCGAAGGCGGCUCACUGGACAUGUAUUGACGCUGAGGCACGAAAGCGUGGGGAGCAAACAGGAUUAGAUACCCUGGUAGUCCACGCCGUAAACGAUGAUAACUAGCUGCCAGGGCUCANGNGUCGUUGUGGCGCNGCUACGACAUUAAGUUAUCCGCCGUCGGGAGGUACGGUCGCGAGAAGUUAAACGUAACGAAAGUAAGUUAGACGGCGUGAGACGUAGACCGACGGACGACCGACGAGGGAGGAGG